Non-coding RNA from Cucurbita maxima (winter squash), 74 nucleotides. The record is from the annotation of a RefSeq genome assembly. NCBI's taxonomy places the organism in Eukaryota, Viridiplantae, Streptophyta, Magnoliopsida, Cucurbitales, Cucurbitaceae.
GCUGGAGUAGCUUAGUUGGUUAUAGCGUGUGGCUGUUAACCACAAGUUAGAAGGUUCAACUCCUUCUUCUAGCG